GAUGAACGCUAGCGAUAGGCCUAACACAUGCAAGUCGAGGGGCAUCACAUGAAGUAGCAAUACGGAUGGUGGCGACCGGCGCACGGGUGAGUAACACGUAUGCAACCUGCCUUCAACAAGGGGAUAACCCGUUGAAAGACGGACUAAUACCCUAUAACACAGGGGUCCCGCAUGGGAAUAUUUGUUAAAGGACAACCGGUUGAAGAUGGGCAUGCGUUCCAUUAGCUAGUUGGCGGGGUAAGGCCCACCAAGGCAACGAUGGAUAGGGGAACUGAGAGGUUUAUCCCCCACACUGGUACUGAGACACGGACCAGACUCCUACGGGAGCAGCAGUGAGGAAUAUUGGUCAAUGGACGCAAGUCUGAACCAGCCACGUCGCGUGAAGGAAGACGGCCCUACGGAUUGUAAACUUCUUUUGCAAGGGAAUAAAGUGGGCCACGUGUGGCCUUUUGCAAGUACCUUGCGAAUAAGGAUCGGCUAACUCCGUGCCAGCAGCCGCGGUAAAUCACACU
This 512-nucleotide ribosomal RNA is filed under the name uncultured bacterium. Its description in RNAcentral is "bacterial SSU rRNA". It matches the Rfam family "Bacterial small subunit ribosomal RNA", at positions 28 to 531 of the family's 1533-position model. The record is from RNAcentral.